AGUGAACGCUGGCGGUAGGCCUAACACAUGCAAGUCGAACGGCCGCACAGUAAGCGCUUGCUCUUACGGGUGGCGAGUGACGGACGGGUGAGACAUGGAUCAGAAUCUACUUUUUCGUGGGGGACAACGUAGGGACACUUCCACUAAUACAGAAUACGACCUACGGGUGAAAGCAGGAGAUCUUCAGACCUUUCGCGUUACAAUGAGCCGAUGUCGCAUUAGCUAGUUGGCGUGGUAAGGGCUCACCAAGGCGACGAUCCGUAGCUGAUCUGAGAGGAUGAUCAGCCACACUGGAACUGAGACACGGUCCAGACUCCUACGGGAGGCAGCAGUAGGGAAUAUUGGACAAUGGGCGAAAGCCUGAUGCAGCAAUGCCGCGUGGGUGAAGAAGGUCUUCGGAUUGUAAAACUCUGUUAUUGGGAAAGAAAAGAAGCAGAUGAAAACACGGCUGUUUUGACGGUACCCAAUGAGUAAGCACCGGCUAACUUCGUG
RNAcentral lists this ribosomal RNA (492 nucleotides) under uncultured bacterium. RNAcentral's name for it is "partial 16S ribosomal RNA". It matches the Rfam family "Bacterial small subunit ribosomal RNA", at positions 29 to 507 of the family's 1533-position model. The record is from RNAcentral.